Adelges cooleyi (spruce gall adelgid) is the source of this 176-nucleotide long non-coding RNA. RefSeq lists it as uncharacterized. The transcript has 3 exons. Lineage: Eukaryota; Metazoa; Arthropoda; Insecta; Hemiptera; Adelgidae. The record is from RefSeq and is a predicted model, not a curated record.
GUCAAAUUGAUCAUAUUGUAUUUUAAAUUUGUAUUGUUUCGAUAUUUUAAAAAAGUAACACAAUUCGACUGCAAUGAUUAUAAAAAUCAACUUUUUUUGUUUCUUAAUAUCAUUUGCCCUUCAAGAAGUUUUGGCAGUUACCUACGCGGAGUAUAAGAAAGAGGUGGCCAUCACCA